Lucilia cuprina (Australian sheep blowfly) is the source of this 855-nucleotide long non-coding RNA. RefSeq lists it as uncharacterized. The record is from RefSeq and is a predicted model, not a curated record. NCBI's taxonomy places the organism in Eukaryota, Metazoa, Arthropoda, Insecta, Diptera, Calliphoridae. The transcript is spliced from 3 exons.
UUAAAAUGCACCAAUACAUAUACAUUUUUGUUAUUAACACAUAUUUAGAUUUAGGUACUUUUUCACUAACACAUGCUUAGAGUUAGGUACUGCUGUCAAAGAGUCGGACUACUUGUUAUACUUUGCCACGAAAUCUCUACCCGUCACCUGUAAUAUGAUUCGUGCUGCCACUGAAAUAGACGAUGAACUUCACUGAAAAGAUGAUCUCUAGACUGUUUAAUGUAUGUUGAUAGAAUUGUCAUACCUAAAUGUUUCAGAAAUAAAAUUUAAAAAGAAUUGCACAAGGCUCACAAGGUCAGGAACAGCAAAUGCCAAUUUAAAUAUUUCCUCCAGUGUCAUCGGUGUACUCCAAACAAAGCUUCAGGAAAAACUCGUUCGUGGGAAGGAAAGUUAGAUUAAACCUUGGCUUGCUACAAAAACCUUAAGUGGAUAUCCUAAUUCGUAACCAGAAAAUGGAAUCUCAGUUAAAUAACCAAUAUGGAGCUAAACAAAGAAUCUACGGUAUUGGACAGCAAGUGUUAGCAAAGGUAUACAAGCGAAAUGAAAUGGACCCCCGGAAUAAUUGCAAAUAAGAAACCACAAAUGCUGCUGAACAAAUAGAAGUUAGUGAGGAAGAUUCUAAACAACAACAUAAUCCAAAUGUUAAUCCAAGUUGCUGAACCAUCGCAGUGUAUUCUAGAAAAAACUCCAGUAUAAGAUCAGCCCACAGAACAACUGCCGUUUAGCCAAUCCUUUUUUUCUAUUUAAUUAUACAUAUACACAUAUAAAUAUAAAAACACAACAAUUAUUUACCUUUUUUGUUGUUAAUAAUUUUUAUUUUGCGUGUGUGAAAACACUCAACCACCAUCAGUGGUG